AUGGCGGCUGACUUUGCCUUUUGCCUGAUUUUUUUAGGAGGAAAAAAAAUCGGAAAUAUCUGGCUGUGCUGACCAAAACGUUCAGGAGUGCAAGGAGGCCCUGUCAAGGGUCCGGGGACAGUUCUCAUUGUCAGCGGUUCUGGAUAGCAUUGCCCACAUCAAAUAAGGUUUUCUUUUUGGUCGGCUUGGAAGCAACAUCAAACAUCAAUUUAGAGGAAACAUUUCUGCUCAGCAUCAUAAAAUGAAUACAUCAGUGCAUCGCCUGCCAUUCUUUCCCUUCUCAUGCAUAAUGGAUGUCAAACCAACCCGGUGAUGGUGCGUAAGCUGAUUUUAUAUGGAGAAACUGUAGUUAGGCCUCACUGAAGUGCUCCUCUGGUAGUCAUUACAGGUCUGUUUUGUGAAGUCAGUGAUAUGUUUUGGGGAGGCCAGCCAUUGGUUUGACGCAGGGCCAGAUGCUGAAUGAGCAGAGACGUGCCCCCUCCACUGCUCCUCCGGCAGCUCUAGAGAAACGGAAACAGGAGAUUUACAUUGCCGCUAUGUUGUUUGAUGGCUCCCACAUGUCGCAUAAUUUCAACAGGUUAAAAUAUGAGGGCUGCAGGACAGACUGAUUGUGAGGGCAUUUAUUAGCCCCGGUUAUGGUGGCUCUUACCAUAAGAUCCUCAGGCCAAGACAGGCUGGUCGAUUUAUGUCGCAAUAAAUAAUCCAUUUCAUGUUAAUUCUCCCAUAAACCCCCUGCCUGUGAUUACGCCAACCCUUCAGAUACAUACAUUUGUCACAGAGUACUUUUUCAACAACAUCCGUUGGAACUGACAGCAUGACAUAACAUGUGUCAGCAGCACUCACUGAAUGGAUGGCCUAAAGCAGCGGCUCUGUUCACAGGUCUGUUCUGAUAAAGUCAUGGACAGCUGAGGAAAGAAGAACAAUGCUGUUUGUAAGCAAUACAAUGCAACUAAUCAUAUAAUUAUG
Sinocyclocheilus rhinocerous is the source of this 966-nucleotide long non-coding RNA. RefSeq lists it as uncharacterized. NCBI's taxonomy places the organism in Eukaryota, Metazoa, Chordata, Actinopteri, Cypriniformes, Cyprinidae. The transcript is spliced from 3 exons. The record is from RefSeq and is a predicted model, not a curated record.